UUGAGCACACUUUCCAACUAUUCAAGAUAGAUUUACUUGAAUACACAUAAUACAUGUCAUCAUAGUCAACUAUAACUAAGCUUUGGAUAAAAGCGUCUGCUAAAUGGCAUAUUAUUUAUUUAUUAUUAUAAAAUCCCCCUAAAUCCCUCAAAUAAAAACGUAAUUUAGCAUCAAUUAGCCAGAUAAGCUAAUGUUAGCAAAUUAGCUGAAAGGAAUGAAAAGGACUUUUGCCACAUGGAAAAUUCAGAACUGGAAGAAGUGCAAGAGAAAUGAAGAUGUUUUCUAGUUGAGGAGCACAUGGGCAAUUGAAGAGCAUGUCAAAACGAAGAGCCAGACUUAGUCCUGAGGCUGAGGCUAUUCAUUUUAUUAUUUCUGGAAGUGACAAGCCUUGUAUAAAGUCAAAUGGAUCAAUGACUAUAAAGGACGUGGUGUAUUUGCCUCAGCACCAAUUGAAAAGGGAUCCUUUGUCCUCGAGUACCGUGGGGAGUUUAUAUCGCAAUAUGAACGGGACAAGAGGCAGGGGAAGUAUACGGAAAAGCAAAAUGCUUUCUUGUUUGAUUUUGAAUGGAACAAUGGCUCAUGGUGCAUAGAUGCAUCCUGCGAAGAUGGUUCACUGGGGAGGCUGGUAAAUGAUGCCCACAGGUCCCCAAAUUGCAAAAUGAAAAAGAUGAUAGUCCAAUGUAAACCUCAUCUUUGCUUGUUUGCUAUUGAAAACAUCCAAGCAGAGAGUGAAAUAACCUAUGAUUAUGGAUAAUCUCAGUGGCCAUGGCGU
Long non-coding RNA from Coregonus clupeaformis (lake whitefish), 772 nucleotides. RefSeq lists it as uncharacterized. The record is from RefSeq and is a predicted model, not a curated record. Lineage: Eukaryota; Metazoa; Chordata; Actinopteri; Salmoniformes; Salmonidae. The transcript is spliced from 4 exons.